RNAcentral lists this ribosomal RNA (465 nucleotides) under uncultured bacterium. RNAcentral's name for it is "bacterial SSU rRNA". It matches the Rfam family "Bacterial small subunit ribosomal RNA", at positions 54 to 518 of the family's 1533-position model. The record is from RNAcentral.
CAUGCAAGUCGAACGAGGCUAUGCAGCGGAAGUUUCGGAUGGAAGCAGCAUAGACCGAGUGGCGGACGGGUGAGUAACGCGUGGGGAACCUGCCCAUUCCGGGGAUACCAGUUGGAACGACUGUUAAUACCGCAUAAGCGCACGGAAGGACAUCCUUCAGUGUGAAAAACUGAGGUGGAAAUGGGAUGGCCCCGCGUCUGAUUAGCCAGUUGGCAGGGUAACGGCCUACCCAAAGCGACGAUCAGUAGCCGGCCUGAGAGGGCGACCGGCCACAUUGGGACUGAGACACGGCCCAAACUCCUACGGGAGGCAGCAGUGGGGAAUAUUGGGCAAUGGGCGAAAGCCUGACCCAGCAACGCCGCGUGAAGGAAGAAGGUCUUCGGAUUGUAAACUUCUUUUAUGAGGGACGAAGGACGUGACGGUACCUCAUGAAUAAGCCACGGCUAACUACGUGCCAGCCGCGGC